GCCUACGGGAGGCAGCAGUGGGGGAUAUUGCACAAUGGGCGCAAGCCUGAUGCAGCGACACCGCGUGAGCGAAGAAGUAUUUCGGUAUGUAAAGCUCUAUCAGCAGGGAAGAAAAUGACGGUACCUGACUAAGAAGCUCCGGCUAAAUACGUGCCAGCAGCCGCGGUAAUACGUAUGGAGCAAGCGUUAUCCGGAUUUACUGGGUGUAAAGGGAGCGUAGGCGGCCCUGUAAGUCUGAUGUGAAAAUUUGGGGCUCAACCCCAACCGUGCAUUG
RNAcentral lists this ribosomal RNA (274 nucleotides) under uncultured bacterium. RNAcentral's name for it is "partial 16S ribosomal RNA". It matches the Rfam family "Bacterial small subunit ribosomal RNA", at positions 337 to 628 of the family's 1533-position model. The record is from RNAcentral.